GGGUCCCUAAAAAAUAAGCCCAAUGCAUGUCUAAGUAUAAGCAAUUUAUACAGUGAAACUGCGAAUGGCUCAUUAAAUCAGUUAUCGUUUAUUUGAUAGUUCCUUUACUACAUGGUAUAACUGUGGUAAUUCUAGAGCUAAUACAUGCUUAAAAUCUCGACCCUUUGGAAGAGAUGUAUUUAUUAGAUAAAAAAUCAAUGUCUUCGGACUCUUUGAUGAUUCAUAAUAACUUUUCGAAUCGCAUGGCCUUGUGCUGGCGAUGGUUCAUUCAAAUUUCUGCCCUAUCAACUUUCGAUGGUAGGAUAGUGGCCUACCAUGGUUUCAACGGGUAACGGGGAAUAAGGGUUCAAUUCCAGAGAGGG
Molecule: ribosomal RNA, 362 nt
Filed under: Saccharomyces cerevisiae (brewer's yeast)
Lineage: Eukaryota; Fungi; Ascomycota; Saccharomycetes; Saccharomycetales; Saccharomycetaceae
Description: SSU rRNA
Rfam family: Eukaryotic small subunit ribosomal RNA
Source: RNAcentral